UCUACCUGAUUGAGAUGGGGAUUAAAAUGUCACCUCUAUGUGUAUCAGUGGGAAUGGAGAAGCAUAGAAGAAGAUAAGCUGGACACCACUCUGAGUCAACCGAACAGCCUGGGAGGCCAGCACAUUGACUGGAAAGUAAGUGAGAAUUGGCGGAGGUAGAGGUGGGUGGGUUCAGUUUCAGGGAAUCUUUAAAUCCUCCUAUCCCACACCUGUACAUGGCGAACAUUCAGUAAGUGUUUGCUGAAUGAAUGGAUACCUGCUCUGCAACAAGACAUGGACAAUUAAGUUCUGCUCUCAGGAAAUGGGAAGCAAGAAAACAGGGCUGCCCUGAAGAGCACAGAGGCUAGUGAGAAGGGCAAGCAGGCCCACUGAAAUAGGUCUCAUACAGCCUGAACUGUGCAAGGUAAAAUUCCUGACAUUCAAGGAGAUUUCCAGUUACUUGCCCAAGGCCACACAAUUAGUUACAAAAUCAACACCUCAAUCCCAAUGGUUUUUACUCUGAAGUAUAAUAAAGCUCGCUGUGUGCCAA
This is a long non-coding RNA of Mustela lutreola (European mink), 529 nucleotides long. RefSeq lists it as uncharacterized. The record is from RefSeq and is a predicted model, not a curated record. Lineage: Eukaryota; Metazoa; Chordata; Mammalia; Carnivora; Mustelidae. The transcript has 2 exons.